Long non-coding RNA from Phycodurus eques (leafy seadragon), 425 nucleotides. RefSeq lists it as uncharacterized. Lineage: Eukaryota; Metazoa; Chordata; Actinopteri; Syngnathiformes; Syngnathidae. The record is from RefSeq and is a predicted model, not a curated record. The transcript is spliced from 3 exons.
AAUCUACCUGUUCCAGUGCGGACCGAACCGGCCAAACAUUUGGGAGAUCGGCCAGCCUGCUUAAAUUCUGUUCCACGCAAUCCACUUCAAAGGCUUCUUUCUUGUGGAACCAUCUUCUACAUUCAGUCGAGGAGAACGACGCCCUCAAUAUAAAGUUGCCACUGCAAUGUCAGUGUCAGAGCACAUCGAACGGGGGAGCAAGAUGCAAGCUGUCAAGUUCAGGCUUUCAAGGUGCUGGAGGCAAGGAACUGGAGGACCCAUGUGCAGGGAAGCAGGGAGGCAAGACAGAAGUGCAGGAGUCUCAAAAAUGAUACUUCAUUCUAAAAAGGCGACGAGGCCAUCUUGUCAGGAUGCCUCCCGGGUGAGGCGUUGUCCCAUUGCGAAGAUCCAGGACACGCUGAAGCAGGUCAGGCUGGGGGAGGCCA